UACGGGGGGAGCAAGCGUUGUUCGGAUUUACUGGGCGUAAAGGGCGCGUAGGCGGCCUCCGCAAGUCAGUUGUGAAAUCUCCGAGCUUAACUCGGAAAGGUCAACUGAUACUGCGGGGCUAGAGUGCGGAAGGGGCAACUGGAAUUCUUGGUGUAGCGGUGAAAUGCGUAGAUAUCAAGAGGAACACCUGCGGCGAAGGCGGGUUGCUGGGCCGACACUGACGCUGAGGAGCGAAAGCGUGGGGAGCGAACAGG
RNAcentral lists this ribosomal RNA (254 nucleotides) under uncultured bacterium. RNAcentral describes it as "partial 16S ribosomal RNA". It matches the Rfam family "Bacterial small subunit ribosomal RNA", at positions 524 to 776 of the family's 1533-position model. The record is from RNAcentral.